AGCUCCAAUAGCGUAUAUUAAAGCUGUUGCGGUUAAAAAGCUCGUAGUUGGAUUUCUGUCAAGGACAACUGGUCCGCCCUCCGGGUGAGCACAUAGUUUGGUCUUGACAUCUUGCUGGAAGCUGUUGCUGCACUUGGCUGUGUGGCGCAGUGUUCAGCACUUUCACUUUGAGGAAAUUGGAGUGUUUCAAGCAGGCACAUGCCUUUGGACACAGUAGCAUGGAAUAAUUAGAUUGGGCUUUUGCUCCAAUUUGUCGGUUUCUGGAGCUGAGGUGAGUAUUAAUGGGGAUUGUUGGGGGCAUCCGAAUUUAGCCGUCAGAGGUGAAAUUCUUGGAUCUGCUAAAGACGGACAACUGCGAAAGCGUUUGCCCAGGAUGUUUUCA
This 382-nucleotide ribosomal RNA is filed under the name uncultured eukaryote. Its description in RNAcentral is "SSU rRNA". It matches the Rfam family "Eukaryotic small subunit ribosomal RNA", at positions 587 to 972 of the family's 1831-position model. The record is from RNAcentral.